RNAcentral lists this ribosomal RNA (253 nucleotides) under uncultured bacterium. RNAcentral describes it as "partial 16S ribosomal RNA". It matches the Rfam family "Bacterial small subunit ribosomal RNA", at positions 524 to 776 of the family's 1533-position model. The record is from RNAcentral.
UACGGAGGGUGCAAGCGUUAUUCGGAAUUACUGGGCGUAAAGCGCGUGUAGGCGGGAAAGCAAGUCUGAUGUGAAAGCCCCGGGCUUAACCUGGGAAGUGCAUUGGAAACUGUUUUUCUUGAGUACUGGAGAGGAAGGGAGAAUUCCCGGUGUAGAGGUGAAAUUCGUAGAGAUCGGGAGGAACACCAGUGGCGAAGGCGCCCUUCUGGACGGUUACUGACGCUGAGACGCGAAAGCGUGGGGAGCAAACAGG